Molecule: long non-coding RNA, 1622 nt
Organism: Bos taurus (domestic cattle)
Lineage: Eukaryota; Metazoa; Chordata; Mammalia; Artiodactyla; Bovidae
Source: Ensembl
UCAGGUCAGUAAGCUCAUUGCUUAAAUCUGAGCUUCCUCGCAAAGGGGUAGUUAAGGCCCCAGAGAUAAACUCACCCCUGACUCGCCUCUGCACGCUUAGCCCUGGCCCAUAGUGACGGCUCAGAACCUGUAUUAUCACAGUUAUUAAGAAAAUGGGAAGUCAAAUUUAUUGAUAAACACACUUCCACGGCAGAUCCUAAUGGGGGCAACUGCCCCCACAGCGAACAAGAAAUCAACCAGAGAAUGCAUCUUUGUGUGUCUGCCAUGACUGCCAAGGGACACGGGUUUCCGGAGUGGAGUCUUCCCCAGGGUCAAGGGGCACCAGGCUCUGGGAGCGGCUCGGAUGGAGUCCAGGGCCGUGGGAACUUACCUGCCGGCGUCCGAGGGGCAGGGCGAACUCAGGAGCUGGCGGUGCCAGGGCCGGCCCAGGAGGGUCGGCUGAGUGGAGUCAGGGUCUUUGGACUGUUGGACCACUGGAUGAGGGGGGUGGGGCCGAACGGAGACCACGGGGCCUGGAUGCUGGACAGAGGAUGCCCAAGAUGGAUGCGGGUUGGAAUUCCAGGCGCAGAAGGCCAUCCGAGCCCGGGCGCAUGGGGAAAGCUUUCUGCCCCAGGAAACUCAUUUGGAGGCCCCUCCAGGUGAUGGGGUGAAUUGGGCCUAAAAGCAGGUUCUAAGCCCCUCUUUUUAACCCCCUGUUCCCCACUCCGGCCUGCAGACCAUUACCGAGAUGAAAGCCCAGAGAAUGCCUUUGGACCACGACUGCGGGAUCUAAUUGAAUUAUAUGAACGCAGUUAAACGCCUGCUUCAGAGAGGCAGGGCUUGCUUUCAAGACUGGAUGCUUCAGGAGUUAAUGGGCUAUUUGAACAAUAUAGGCCGAGAGCCGAACACAGGUGGGCUGUGUUAAUAACUUUAUUUAGACCCGCUUUUUUUUUUUCCCCUUUGAGGCGCACAAGCCUUCCAUUAAUGCAUUCAUUAGAGUUUAUGGCCAGGCUCUGGUUUUCUCCUAAUGACACUGUCCAGACCCGGCUCCCCGGCUAAUUGAGGCCAGCUGCCCGGCUGCCCCGCCCCGGCCUCAGGACCCAGUGUCACCAGGAUUAGCCACUGGGGCUGGAGCUGGACUCGGCCUGAGCCGGGCUGGGGAUGAUAGCCGUUCAGGAAGGGAAACCUGCUACUCUCCCCAGCCCACAACCACUGUAGCUGAGGGGGAGGAGGGGUCAAGGGAACCUGUGUGUCUGGACACCCUCCAGCCCCACCCACGCACAGCGAAGGAGCCCGGGUGGGUGGGCUCCCAUCUCCACGUCUCCUCACCAUGGCCUGUACCGCCUCCACUCCUGUCCACUCCUGGGCCUCCUCCCCACCGCAGUCACACUGACGAUCCCUGAGACCAACCUGAUGCCGUCGGGCCCUCUGAGCAACCUGUUGUGGCUCCCCACAGCCCUCCGAGGAAAGUUUAGAAGAUAUGUCUGCAUUCACAACCUUCUUAUUGCCUUAGGUCUCAUCUCUCAUCCCUCCUCCACUGUGUGGACCGUCAGCCAGGAAUGCCUCCCUCUGUCCCCCAUGGACCCCCCUCCAUCCUGAGUCCUCAACCCUGCUGGAGUCAAUUUAAAUGCAACCUCCUCCAG